AGCAUAGAGAACACUAACCCCCUUUUUUCUUUAAUCUUCAAAUCCUUCUAAUUUUCAAUUCGGAGCUCCGAUUGACGAGCCGUCAGCGGCUGCGCGUUCGUCUUAGAGUCUUCUUCAAUUCUAAUUCAACAAAGUGGUCGUGAUGCACCUCGGUGAGCGUCUGGAGUUUCCUCUGUAAGAGAAGUUGGUUAUCUUGGGAUUACUGUAUUUUGUUUUAUGCUUCGUAUAUAUAUGUAUACAUAUUCUCCACCCUUGCAUUUUGUAUUUUAUCCCUCCUAGAGGUUGACUUGGAGAAACAGAUGUUUUGGCAUAUAUGUUUUAGGGUUGCUCUUUUGGGUUAUAUGUAUAUGUAUAUGUAUAUAUUUGCUUUGGCCGGUUCUAGCUUCGCGAUCCGAGUCAGAAGCCUUGCUAUAUGUAUCUUUGGAAUUCUUCUCUCA
Molecule: non-coding RNA, 437 nt
Organism: Arachis ipaensis
Lineage: Eukaryota; Viridiplantae; Streptophyta; Magnoliopsida; Fabales; Fabaceae
Source: RefSeq, a predicted model, not a curated record